AUGUCCAACGGCGAGCGGCGCCCCUGGAUCGGCAUGAACGCCCACCACCUGUUCGACCAAAGGUUUCAGAGCAGCCACCGCCCCUUGGUACAUCCAUCCAGGUCUCCUCUUGUGGAUCUAAAAAAGGAAGCGAUCAGUGUCUCAAAGUUUAUUGAGAAUCUCAAGAUUGUGAAGAUUGAUAGGCAGGCUAACAAGGUGGUGCAUGAGAUUGCUAAAUUUAGUUUUGAUAGCAGGUCCGAUGAUGUGCUUUGUAAUAGUGUUUCACCCUGCGUGGGUAACUAUGUUAUGAACGAUUGUAAGAAUCUUGUUAAUUAG
RNAcentral lists this ribosomal RNA (315 nucleotides) under Triticum aestivum (bread wheat). RNAcentral describes it as "partial small subunit ribosomal RNA". Lineage: Eukaryota; Viridiplantae; Streptophyta; Magnoliopsida; Poales; Poaceae. The record is from RNAcentral.